RNAcentral lists this ribosomal RNA (470 nucleotides) under Clostridioides difficile. RNAcentral's name for it is "bacterial SSU rRNA". It matches the Rfam family "Bacterial small subunit ribosomal RNA", at positions 1053 to 1524 of the family's 1533-position model. Lineage: Bacteria; Bacillati; Bacillota; Clostridia; Peptostreptococcales; Peptostreptococcaceae. The record is from RNAcentral.
CGUCAGCUCGUGUCGUGAGAUGUUGGGUUAAGUCCCGCAACGAGCGCAACCCUUGUCUUUAGUUGCCAUCAUUAAGUUGGGCACUCUAGAGAGACUGCCAGGGAUAACCUGGAGGAAGGUGGGGAUGACGUCAAAUCAUCAUGCCCCUUAUGCUUAGGGCUACACACGUGCUACAAUGGGUAGUACAGAGGGUUGCCAAGCCGUAAGGUGGAGCUAAUCCCUUAAAGCUACUCUCAGUUCGGAUUGUAGGCUGAAACUCGCCUACAUGAAGCUGGAGUUACUAGUAAUCGCAGAUCAGAAUGCUGCGGUGAAUGCGUUCCCGGGUCUUGUACACACCGCCCGUCACACCACGGGAGUUGGAGACGCCCGAAGCCGAUUAUCUAACCUUUUGGAAGAAGUCGUCGAAGGUGGAAUCAAUAACUGGGGUGAAGUCGUAACAAGGUAGCCGUAUCGGAAGGUGCGGCUGGAUC